RNAcentral lists this ribosomal RNA (406 nucleotides) under Klebsiella pneumoniae. RNAcentral's name for it is "bacterial LSU rRNA". It matches the Rfam family "Bacterial large subunit ribosomal RNA", at positions 1329 to 1737 of the family's 2925-position model. The record is from RNAcentral. Lineage: Bacteria; Pseudomonadati; Pseudomonadota; Gammaproteobacteria; Enterobacterales; Enterobacteriaceae.
CCCGCUCGCCGGAAGACCAAGGGUUCCUGUCCAACGUUAAUCGGGGCAGGGUGAGUCGACCCCUAAGGCGAGGCCGAAAGGCGUAGUCGAUGGGAAACAGGUUAAUAUUCCUGUACUUGGUGUUACUGCGAAGGGGGGACGGAGAAGGCUAUGUUAGCCGGGCGACGGUUGUCCCGGUUUAAGCAUGUAGGCUGGUUAUCCAGGCAAAUCCGGAUAAUCAAGGCUGAGGUGUGAUGACGAGGCACUACGGUGCUGAAGUAACAAAUGCCCUGCUUCCAGGAAAAGCCUCUAAGCAUCAGGUAACAUCAAAUCGUACCCCAAACCGACACAGGUGGUCAGGUAGAGAAUACCAAGGCGCUUGAGAGAACUCGGGUGAAGGAACUAGGCAAAAUGGUGCCGUAACUUC